AUCGCUUCUCGGCCUUUUGGCUAAGAUCAAGUGUAGUAUCUGUUCUUAUCAGUUUAAUAUCUGAUACGUGCCCUACCCGGGCACCAUAUAUUAAAAUUGAUUUUUGGAAUUGGGAGAUGGAAUAGGGGCUUGCUCCGUCCACUCCACGCAUCGACCCGGUAAUUGCAGUACCUCCGGGAACGGUGCACCCCCC
This 193-nucleotide small nuclear RNA is filed under the name Carassius auratus (goldfish). RNAcentral describes it as "U2 spliceosomal RNA (ENSCARG00000053526.1)". It matches the Rfam family "U2 spliceosomal RNA". Rfam says of the family: U2 is a small nuclear RNA (snRNA) component of the spliceosome (involved in pre-mRNA splicing). Complementary binding between U2 snRNA (in an area lying towards the 5' end but 3' to hairpin I) and the branchpoint sequence (BPS) of the intron results the bulging out of an unpaired adenosine, on the BPS, which initiates a nucleophilic attack at the intronic 5' splice site, thus starting the first of two transesterification reactions that mediate splicing. Lineage: Eukaryota; Metazoa; Chordata; Actinopteri; Cypriniformes; Cyprinidae. The record is from Rfam by way of RNAcentral.